UACGUAGGGUGCGAGCGUUGUCCGGAAUUAUUGGGCGUAAAGAGCUCGUAGGUAGUUUGUCGCGUUGUUCGUGAAAACUCACAGCUCAACUGUGGGCGUGCGGGCGAUACGGGCAGACUAGAGUACUGCAGGGGAGACUGGAAUUCCUGGUGUAGCGGUGGAAUGCGCAGAUAUCAGGAGGAACACCGGUGGCGAAGGCAGGUCUCUGGGCUGACACUGACGCUCAUGCACGAAAGCGUGGGGAGCAAACAGG
RNAcentral lists this ribosomal RNA (253 nucleotides) under uncultured bacterium. RNAcentral's name for it is "partial 16S ribosomal RNA". It matches the Rfam family "Bacterial small subunit ribosomal RNA", at positions 524 to 776 of the family's 1533-position model. The record is from RNAcentral.